AUACGGAGGGUGCAAGCGUUAUUCGGAAUCACUGGGCGUAAAGGACGCGUAGGCGGGUUGGCAAGUCAGAUGUGAAAUCCUACAGCUUAACUGUAGAACUGCAUUUGAAACUGCUAACCUAGAGUAUGGGAGGGGGAGAUGGAAUUAGUGGUGUAGGGGUAAAAUCCGUAGAUAUCACUAGGAAUACCGAAAGCGAAGGCGAUCUCCUGGAACACUACUGACGCUAAGGCGUGAAAGCGUGGGGAGCAAACAGGAUUAGAUACCCUAGUAGUCC
This 274-nucleotide ribosomal RNA is filed under the name uncultured bacterium. RNAcentral describes it as "partial 16S ribosomal RNA". It matches the Rfam family "Bacterial small subunit ribosomal RNA", at positions 523 to 796 of the family's 1533-position model. The record is from RNAcentral.